RNA transcript from Bufo gargarizans (Asiatic toad), 1125 nucleotides. It is a transcript of the gene named chibby family member 1, beta catenin antagonist, with no coding region annotated. NCBI's taxonomy places the organism in Eukaryota, Metazoa, Chordata, Amphibia, Anura, Bufonidae. The record is from RefSeq and is a predicted model, not a curated record. The transcript has 6 exons.
CAGAACUCUGGUUACAGUAGUCGUUAUUGAGAGCUGGGACCCGGAGAUCGCGGCUGCUCUGCUCGUGGACAGGAAAGUAUAGGCUGUAAACAUAACCACUCUGGAAUCCACGUGGAAACUAGGCAAGAUGCCCCUCUUUGGGAACACCUUCAGCCCGAAGAAAACGCCGCCCAGAAAAUCGGCAUCACUUUCUAACUUGCAUGCGCUGGACCGGACAACAAAAGAGGUAGAGCUGGGUUUGGAAUAUGGUGCCCCUAGUAUCAGUAUUGCAGGACAAAGUCUUAAAUUUGAAAAUGGCCACUGGAUAGCAGAAUCGGGUGGCACUGGAUCUCAGAAGGAUCUCCAACGUCUUCGAAAGAGAAAUCAGCAGUUGGAGGAGGAGAAUAACUUGCUUCGUCUGAAAGUAGAAAUCCUGCUGGACAUGCUCUCUGAAGCAACAGCAGAAUCCCACCUAAAGGAUAAGGAGCUUGAGGAAAUGAAGAGCUUGAGUGGGCGAAGAAAAUGAACGAAAUCUAUAAAAAGGAAACCCGGAUGAGCCAGGAACAGCUCAUGAAUUAAUACCUGCGUCAUACAGAAGACUGAUAAUGCUCCUCUCCUAAUCAAAGCUCAUUGAGGCUUUUAUCUUCUUAUGAACAUUUUUUCCCAAUUCACUUCCGCAGUGACAGGCAGCAGGGGUGUAGUAGCCGCCCCCGCAUCAUUCCAUAGUGGACUAGAUCAGUUAUUUAUUUGUUACACUUGUAAGACUCACCUUUCAUAAGGAGCCUUUUAUCAGAUAUAUGUUGGAGGACUUGCAAUAUAUACCUUCAGUGGAAGGGCUACAACAUAUUCUGCUGUACAGCCAGCAGUGGGAUAUAUCGCCCAUGUACAGUUAUCACUGAAGCUUCCCCCGGCAGCUGGAGUCCUCCGACAGCUCUCUGAAUUCGGAUGCUCUGACCAUAGACUUGGAGGGAGAUGGGGAAGCUGGUAGCAUCCACAGUGAAGUAACACUUGGUGAAAUUGCAGGUGAAAGAACAAACCACGUCCUAUUGGAUUUCUGGUUUCACACACCGGGUAUUUGGUGAAAAAUUCCAGUCUGAAGUUUCCCAACAAUAUACAGUAUUGGAGUUUGGCGUAUUUAUGUUUUAA